This 253-nucleotide ribosomal RNA is filed under the name uncultured bacterium. Its description in RNAcentral is "partial 16S ribosomal RNA". It matches the Rfam family "Bacterial small subunit ribosomal RNA", at positions 524 to 776 of the family's 1533-position model. The record is from RNAcentral.
UACGUAGGGCGCAAGCGUUGUCCGGAAUUAUUGGGCGUAAAGAGCUCGUAGGCGGUUUGUCGCGUCGGCUGUGAAAACCCGAGGCUCAACCUCGGGCCUGCAGUCGAUACGGGCAGACUAGAGUGUGGUAGGGGAGACUGGAAUUCCUGGUGUAGCGGUGAAAUGCGUAGAUAUCGAGAGGAACACCUGCGGCGAAGGCGGGUUGCUGGGCUGAUACUGACGCUGAGGCGCGAAAGCUAGGGGAGCGAACGGG